CUCGCGAAAAAUGGGUAAAUGAUAUGAGAACAAAAACGAUACAUUAAACUGGCUUCAUUAAAUUUAUAAAACGAAAGUUAACUCCCACUAUGUUACCACGUAAAUGGAGAGCACUUAUAAAUGAUGUUUUUCUCUAAUGGGAUUUUCAUAUGUUAAAUCAAAAAGACAUAAUUCAUUGUGGUAUAACUAGAGAUGAAGAAUGAAUUACUGUAAGAUAUUUGUGAAGUGAGAAUACGCAAAAGUCUAAUAACAAAAUGCUUUACUUAUGUUAACUUGGGAAUUAUAGAGGAAUAACCUUUUACUCCUUGUGGGCAACAAAUCUCAAACGACGAUAUUGUAGGAACCAUUUACCAUCGCUCCUACAGUCAGUCACCAACAAGGCAUUAUAAACUGUUUCACGAAUGAUGUCCUUCCAUUGUGGAAAGGCGUGAUAGAAAUGCUGUGCAAAGGUAUCUAGCCAUUCACGGACGUCUUUGUUAAGAAGUGUUGGUCGAGAAAUGUUCUCAACGUAUUCAACAUGGAAUCCGGCCUCUUCCAACAUUCGGGUAUAAUCAUCCUCAGAGCCAAAAAACCAAGGAUUUGCUUGGUCAAUCUGCUCCUUUGUAGCUCCAAGAGCAAGUAGAAUAGAAUAAAUGCUACCAACAACCUCUGAAACGUUGCCAAAAGCACCACAUUCUGCGACGAAACGGCCUUUGGUGCGCAGAACCCGAGAAACGCCUUUCAUUACGAUAGGACGAUUUUUUGGUUGUCGCAUAAUCCAGUGCAAAGCAGCAUUGCUGAAGACAACGUCAAAGGAUUCGGAUGGGAUCUCAGAUGCAUCAAGCAAUUUUUCGCCUGGAAUGACAUACGCAUUCAAACCAAGUUCACGAGCAGCCUUAAUCAUGUCCGGACUCGCGUCAAUACCUACCACCCGCCUGCACUGCGAAACUAAUUCGUUGGUGAGAACACCAUCGCCGCAACCCAAAUCAAGAAGUUCAUCAGACGAUGACAAGUUUAUUCUCUUAACAAUGUCUUUCGUCAGUUUUGGAACGAAAGAUGCAUUUCGCUGAUAGUCCUUUGCUGACCUAAUUCAAUUCUGGCGUUAAUAUUUAACACAUUACGAAUGCAUGCUUACCAGUAAUCCUCAGGCAUUAUGAUGAUUGAAAUUUAUAAAAAAUUCACGAACUAGUAACAAAAAAAUAUCUUCUAUAUAUAAUAAUAAUUGUUGUCCUUAUAUUGAAGAUGAAUCUUAGAUACGGUGUUAACGUGGUUC
This is a non-coding RNA of Schizosaccharomyces pombe (fission yeast), 1252 nucleotides long. Lineage: Eukaryota; Fungi; Ascomycota; Schizosaccharomycetes; Schizosaccharomycetales; Schizosaccharomycetaceae. The record is from the annotation of a GenBank genome assembly.